This 628-nucleotide ribosomal RNA is filed under the name Acinetobacter haemolyticus. RNAcentral describes it as "bacterial SSU rRNA". It matches the Rfam family "Bacterial small subunit ribosomal RNA", at positions 1 to 621 of the family's 1533-position model. The record is from RNAcentral. Lineage: Bacteria; Pseudomonadati; Pseudomonadota; Gammaproteobacteria; Moraxellales; Moraxellaceae.
UUAAACUGAAGAGUUUGAUCAUGGCUCAGAUUGAACGCUGGCGGCAGGCUUAACACAUGCAAGUCGAGCGGGGAAGUGUAGCUUGCUACAUUACCUAGCGGCGGACGGGUGAGUAAUGCUUAGGAAUCUGCCUAUUAGUGGGGGACAACAUUCCGAAAGGAAUGCUAAUACCGCAUACGUCCUACGGGAGAAAGCAGGGGAUCUUCGGACCUUGCGCUAAUAGAUGAGCCUAAGUCGGAUUAGCUAGUUGGUGGGGUAAAGGCCUACCAAGGCGACGAUCUGUAGCGGGUCUGAGAGGAUGAUCCGCCACACUGGGACUGAGACACGGCCCAGACUCCUACGGGAGGCAGCAGUGGGGAAUAUUGGACAAUGGGCGGAAGCCUGAUCCAGCCAUGCCGCGUGUGUGAAGAAGGCCUUUUGGUUGUAAAGCACUUUAAGCGAGGAGGAGGCUACUCUAGUUAAUACCUAGAGAUAGUGGACGUUACUCGCAGAAUAAGCACCGGCUAACUCUGUGCCAGCAGCCGCGGUAAUACAGAGGGUGCGAGCGUUAAUCGGAUUUACUGGGCGUAAAGCGUGCGUAGGCGGCUGAUUAAGUCGGAUGUGAAAUCCCUGAGCUUAACUUAGGAAU